This 967-nucleotide long non-coding RNA is filed under the name Carica papaya (papaya). RNAcentral describes it as "long non-coding RNA (CPAP_LNC013397)". The record is from RNAcentral. Lineage: Eukaryota; Viridiplantae; Streptophyta; Magnoliopsida; Brassicales; Caricaceae.
GUGUGUGUAUUUUGCGGCAAGUCCAAAACUGGUUGCUUUCCCACAAAGACUUUUGAGAGACUAGUGAAAGAAAGUCCACAUCUUAUUCCGGGGAUAUUUUUGGUAUCUCAGUAGAAUAUAAUAAUGGUGUACUCAAUAUAGAAAUGACUGUCAAUUAAGAAGUCUUCGGUUCGCUUUGCAAAACAUCAGAGGCGUUUCAGAUCUUCCGAGCUAAAACCAUGUGAAGAUUCUAACCAAAAAUGGGUUUGGUUGCUCUUUGUUUAAACCCUUCAGGCAAAUAGGUGCUCAGGCCUUCCUGUUUUGCUUGGACAACAUGUAUCAUGCUUUCUUAGCUUCCUCACACGUUUGAAGAACAGCAGGCAGUGGUGCAGUGAUUUUAACAAUCUACACAAGUCAACAGAAUCUGUAAGCAUUCUGGAUAGCACUUCUAUUCAAUAUAUCACAUCAUUCCACAUUCCUCUGCAAGUCUUUUCAAGAAAAAGUUACUAAAGUUCAUAGGUUCUGAUUUUUAUAGCAGACACUAUUUGUUGUCCUUUAACCUAAUAGGGAACUUUUUGAAGGUACAAAUUUGGAUUCUUACCUUUUUAAGGCAGGAUAAAAAAGAUUUCAUCACAAAAAAUUCGAAGCAGGAGGAUGAUAAUUCAAACGCAACACAACAAAUUAUAUUAUCUUAGGGACAAAAUUCUAAAAACCCUUUGUUUUCACUUGUAACAAUAUGUACCAUGUACUAUAGUAUCAACUCUAUAAUUUCUUAGGGAUAAUAUUCAAAUAAUGUAGUUUUUUUUUUUUGGGAUUUUGAAUGAAAUUUGCAUAGCGGUCUCUAGGACAUUGACAUUUUGGUCCUAUAUGAACUGCUAUUCUUUCAUUGGUGGGGCCUAAUUCCAAAGCAUCUUGUUAAUCACAGCAAUCAAAUGUUUUGCAGGAAAGAAACACAUUUAACGAGAAAAGAAAGAAGCUGAAGCAAUUA